RNAcentral lists this non-coding RNA (24 nucleotides) under Arabidopsis thaliana (thale cress). The record is from RNAcentral. Lineage: Eukaryota; Viridiplantae; Streptophyta; Magnoliopsida; Brassicales; Brassicaceae.
GAAUUUGAGACGCUGAAAAUUCCA